Molecule: long non-coding RNA, 744 nt
Organism: Humulus lupulus (European hop)
Lineage: Eukaryota; Viridiplantae; Streptophyta; Magnoliopsida; Rosales; Cannabaceae
Exons: 4
Source: RefSeq, a predicted model, not a curated record
CUGCUAGGCCCGAACGACUGCCCUCUGAUGGUUGCUGGCGUGCAGACACCGGAUGAGGAGUUCCAGACACCGCUGAAACUCCAGCCUCGCGAGCCCUUCGUUGCCGUUCUCCGCCACUAGCAGAAGCCUCCAGGCUCGUACUUUUGGACAAGUAAAUGUUGGGGCAUUGAACAAUCUGAGGUAUGCCCCUCAAUCUCUCGCAACUGGUGGAGCGGUGGCCUCGCCGGGGUCACGACGGUGGUCUUUACUCCAAGACUAAGAGCUCUCUUCUCCGACCUCGUCUUCAAUCUCAAUUGGGGGUGACCCCCUUCUCUCUCUAUUGAAAUGGCGGUCUCUUUCCAGACAACUAUUCAUCCCCAAGCCAGACUCGCUCACCCGCCUCCAAGUUGUGGAACAAAGCUUUAUUUGGGGUUAAAGCUUCAAUCUUCAUGACCAGUAAUCAUAAACCAACAAGAGCACAAAUUGGAAUGAUGCCUAUUGGAACUCCAAGGGUGCCCUAUAGGACUCCUAGUGAAGGUACUUGGCAAUGGGUUGACUUGUGGAAUGCCCUGUUUUGCCAUCAACUGGCAUUGGAGCUCUUUCUACCAGAGGAGCUGAAGGAAGAGCUAAUGUAUCUGCGGGAGAGAAGGGUACAAGUGUCACACACGCUUCUCAUAUAUCAUUUGGUUUGUCCUUUUUAUGAAUGAUGUAAAAUUAGAACAAUUUUAUUGUAAGAUCCAUUAAUAGAGUAUCAAAUUAAAAUAU